This 440-nucleotide ribosomal RNA is filed under the name uncultured bacterium. Its description in RNAcentral is "partial 16S ribosomal RNA". It matches the Rfam family "Bacterial small subunit ribosomal RNA", at positions 338 to 795 of the family's 1533-position model. The record is from RNAcentral.
CCUACGGGAGGCAGCAGUGGGGAAUAUUGCACAAUGGGGGAAACCCUGAUGCAGCGACGCCGCGUGAGUGAAGAAGUAAUUCGUUAUGUAAAGCUCUAUCAGCAGGGAAGAAAAUGACGGUACCUGAGUAAGAAGCCCCGGCUAACUACGUGCCAGCAGCCGCGGUAAUACGGAGGGGGCAAGCGUUAUCCGGAUUUACUGGGUGGAAAGGGAGCGUAGACGGCAUGGCAAGUAUGGAGUGAAAGGCGGGGGCUCAACCCCCGGACUGCUCUGGAAACUGUACGGCUGGAGUGCAGGAGAGGUAAGUGGAAUUCCUAGUGUAGCGGUGAAAUGCGUAGAUAUUAGGAGGAACACCAGUGGCGAAGGCGGCUUACUGGACUGUAACUGACGUUGAGGCUCGAAAGCGUGGGGAGCAAACAGGAUUAGAUACCCGAGUAGUC